This 450-nucleotide ribosomal RNA is filed under the name uncultured bacterium. RNAcentral describes it as "partial 16S ribosomal RNA". It matches the Rfam family "Bacterial small subunit ribosomal RNA", at positions 354 to 796 of the family's 1533-position model. The record is from RNAcentral.
GUGGGGAAUAUUGGACAAUGGGCGAAAGCCUGAUCCAGCCAUGCCGCGUGUGUGAAGAAGGUCUUCGGAUUGUAAAGCACUUUAAGUUGGGAGGAAGGGUAGUAACCUAAUACGUUGCUACUUUGACGUUACCGACAGAAUAAGCACCGGCUAACUUCGUGCCAGCAGCCGCGGUAAUACGAAGGAUGCAAGCGUUAAUCGGAAUUACUGGACGUAAAGCGCGCGUAGGUGGUUCAGUAAGUUGGAAGUGAAAUCCCCGGGCUCAACCUGGGAACUGCUUUCAAAACUGCUGAGCUAGAGUACGGUAGAGGGUGGUGGAAUUUCCUGUGUAGCGGUGAAAUGCGUAGAUAUAGGAAGGAACACCAGUGGCGAAGGCGACCACCUGGACUGAUACUGACACUGAGGUGCGAAAGCGUGGGGAGCAAACAGGAUUAGAUACCCUAGUAGUCC